RNAcentral lists this ribosomal RNA (406 nucleotides) under uncultured bacterium. RNAcentral describes it as "bacterial SSU rRNA". It matches the Rfam family "Bacterial small subunit ribosomal RNA", at positions 505 to 916 of the family's 1533-position model. The record is from RNAcentral.
GUGCCAGCAGCCGCGGUAACACGUAGGGGGCGAGCGUUGUUCGGAAUUAUUGGGCGUAAAGGGCACGCAGGCGGUCAGGCAAGUCUGAUGUAAAAAUUCAGGGCUCAACCCUGUCAUGCGUUGGAAACUGUCUGACUUGAGUACAGGAGGGGAUAUUGGAAUUCCAGGUGUAGGGGUGAAAUCUGUAGAUAUCUGGAAGAACACCGAUGGCGAAGGCAAAUAUCUGGCCAUGUACUGACGCUGAGGUGCGAAGGUGCGGGGAGCAAACAGGUUUAGAUACCCUGGUAGUCCGCACAGUAAACGAUGUACAUCAGGUGGCGGCCGCAAGGUCGGUACCGAAGCAAACGCAUUAAAUGUACCGCCUGGGGAGUAUGCUCGCAAGGGUGAAACUCAAAUGAAUUGACGG